AAGGCGAGGCCGAAAGGCGUAGUCGAUGGGAAACGGGUUAAUAUUCCCGUACUUGGUGUUACUGCGAAGGGGGGACGGAGAAGGCUAUGUUGGCCGGGCGACGGUUGUCCCGGUUUAAGCGUGUAGGAUAGAGACCUGUUCUAUUUUUUGCGCUUCGGGCGGGUAGUCGGAAUAGCUGCUGACGCCAACGGGCGUAAUCCCGGCGGCAAAAGCGAGCUCCGUA
This 223-nucleotide ribosomal RNA is filed under the name Salmonella enterica subsp. enterica serovar Lubbock. RNAcentral describes it as "partial 23S ribosomal RNA". It matches the Rfam family "Bacterial large subunit ribosomal RNA", at positions 1393 to 1624 of the family's 2925-position model. The record is from RNAcentral. Lineage: Bacteria; Pseudomonadati; Pseudomonadota; Gammaproteobacteria; Enterobacterales; Enterobacteriaceae.